GAGCUCAAAUUUAANAUCUGGCGGCUUCUAGUCGUCCGAGUUGUAACCUGGAGAGGCAUUUUCCGCGUUGGACCGUGUACAAGUCUCCUGGAAUGGAGCGUCAUAGAGGGUGAGAAUCCCGUCCAUGACACGGACCGCCAAUGCUCUGUGAUAUGCCUUCGAAGAGUCGCGUUGUUUGGGAAUGCAGCGCAAAAUGGGUGGUAAAUUCCAUCUAAAGCUAAAUAUUGGCGAGAGACCGAUAGCGAACAAGUACCGUGAGGGAAAGAUGAAAAGCACUUUGGAAAGAGAGUUAAACAGUACGUGAAAUUGUUGAAAGGGAAGCGCUUGAAGUCAGUCGCGUUCCGUGGAACUCAGCCUUACCUCGGUUUGGUGUACUUUCCAUUUGAACGGGUCAACGUCAAUUUUGGCCGGUGGACAAAGACAAGGGGAAUGUAGCGUUGCUUCGGUGACGUGUUAUAGACCCUUGUUGUAUACACCGGUUAGGAUUGAGGACUGCAGCACGCCCUUGUGGCCGGGGGUUCGCCCCACGUAACGUGCUUAGGAUGUUGGCAUAAUGGCUUUAAGCGACCCGUCUUGAAACACGGACCAAGGAGUCUAACAUGCUUGCGAGUGUUCGGGUGGAAAACCCUUGCGCGUAAUGAAAGUGAAAGUUAGGAACCUUCUCGCNAGAGAGGGUGCACUGACGCCCGGCCCUGACGUUCUCUGACGGUGCUGCGGUAGAGCAAGUGCGUUGGGACCCGAAAGAUGGUGAACUAUGCCUGAAUAGGGCGAAGCCAGAGGAAACUCUGGUGGAGGCUCGUA
Molecule: ribosomal RNA, 801 nt
Filed under: Fulvifomes kawakamii
Lineage: Eukaryota; Fungi; Basidiomycota; Agaricomycetes; Hymenochaetales; Hymenochaetaceae
Description: partial large subunit ribosomal RNA
Rfam family: Eukaryotic large subunit ribosomal RNA
Source: RNAcentral